AUUGAACGCUGGCGGCAGGCCUAACACAUGCAAGUCGAACGGUAACAGGAAGCAUCUUGCUGCUUCGCUGGCGAGUGGCGGACGGGUGAGUAAUGUCUGGGAAACUGCCUGAUGGAGGGGGAUAACUACUGGAAACGGUAGCUAAUACCGCAUAACGUCGCAAGACCAAAGAGGGGGACCUUAGGGCCUCUUGCCAUCGGAUGUGCCCAGAUGGGAUUAGCUAGUAGGUGGGGUAACGGCUCACCUAGGCGACGAUCCCUAGCUGGUCUGAGAGGAUGACCAGCCACACUGGAACUGAGACACGGUCCAGACUCCUACGGGAGGCAGCAGUGGGGAAUAUUGCACAAUGGGCGCAAGCCUGAUGCAGCCAUGCCGCGUGUAUGAAGAAGGCCUUCGGGUUGUAAAGUACUUUCAGCGGGGAGGAAGGGAGUAAAGUUAAUACCUUUGCUCAUUGACGUUACCCGCAGAAGAAGCACCGGCUAACUCCGUG
Molecule: ribosomal RNA, 490 nt
Filed under: uncultured bacterium
Lineage: Bacteria
Description: partial 16S ribosomal RNA
Rfam family: Bacterial small subunit ribosomal RNA
Source: RNAcentral